This 2879-nucleotide long non-coding RNA is filed under the name Homo sapiens (human). RNAcentral describes it as "non-protein coding lnc-JMJD7-PLA2G4B-11:4". Lineage: Eukaryota; Metazoa; Chordata; Mammalia; Primates; Hominidae. The record is from RNAcentral.
GUCUUCCCGGCCGGGUGGCACUGACCGGUCAUGCUCAGGGCCCCCUUCUGGUUGCCGGUGCCUCACCUCUGGCCAGGUGGCAUCGGCUUCCGGGUAAAUCUGAGCUGCCCAAAGCGAGCCUCCGGAGGCUGCUCCAUCUCCUGGAACGUUUACUCAUUCAGGCCUCUGGACGUCGAUACUGGGGAUGAAAAGUUCAGAAAGUGGACAGGCAGGUUCUGUCUUCCCGGGGGCGGGUGGUUAUGACUCCGUUUUACAGGCCAAGAGACCCAGGCUCACGGGCAUAAUUGACACAAUCUUGAGGGGAAGUGGACUGGAAUCUAUUUGAGUAGCCGUUUCUCCUACUUCUCCACAUUGCCCUCACUAAAUUCUGGAUCAGCUAAAGGCUUUUUCCCCUUAGUUUUCUUUAUGUGUUUUUCUGUAAAGCCGAAAAUUUAGUCAUUACUCUCAUUAUUACAUUAUCCUCAUUAUUACAACUUUAUUUCCACAUAUUGACAUGUGAGUCAUUGUCACCUCCUAGCUGUUUUUUGUUGUUGUUGUUGUUUUCUGAGACGGAGUCUCGCUCUGUCGCCCAGGCUGGAGUGCAGUGGCACGAUCUCGGCUCACUGCAACCUCCGCUUCCCGGGUUCAAGCAAUUUUCCUGUCUCAGCCUCCUGAGUAGCUGGGACUACAGGCGCUCACCACCAUGCCCAGCUAAUUUUUGUAUUUUUAGUAGAGAUGGGGUUUCACCAUAUUGGUAAGGCUGGUCUUGAACUCCUGACCUCAGAUGAUCCGCCUGCCUUGGCCUCCCAAAGUAUUGGGAUUAUAGGCGUGAGCCACCGCCCCUGGCCUGUUUCUUUUCUAGGUUAAAAGGAUACUCACUUAUCUAAGUUGAGAUUGGGGGAAAUAAUCACCUUUUGUGUCCUUGAUUGUAGCUUAGGAAUAUUUCUUAGUUGUUUUAGAGCAUUUCUCAAGUGUGAUCCAUGGGGCCACCUGCAUAUAUGCAUUUAUGAGCUGGGAUGCUUGUUAAAAUGCAGAUUCCUGGUCUUCAGUCCAGACCUACUGAGUUAAAAUAUUGAGGAGAGAUGGAGCUCAACAGAUGCCCUAGGUGACUCUGAUGUGGCCUAAGUCUGGGGAAACAGUACACCCUGCAGUACUUCUCCAACCUAACAGAAAUGCGGAUUCUGAUUCGCAAUGUUUCCUGAAAUAUACCUGAGCUUGGAACAGCAUGGAUCUGUACGAGCUGGUGCCCCACUAGUUGAUGACAUGGCUUCAUGAAAACAGAGGAGCACCUCACCACUAGAAGAGACCCUUGCAGUAGGAAACAAAGCUGCAUGAGAAAAGGUGGGAUGGGAUGGAAACGGCCUACUCACUCCCCCAGGAGUGGAGAGGAGGAAGCCUGAAGGGAUGAGGGCAGGGUUAUGCAUAUUUUGCAGCAUCAGAUAAUGAAAGCAGAUGAGUCAGCAGCAUUCACCCACAUGGCCAUUUUAUUCCAUGCACAAAUAAUAUGAUGAUUUUAUAAACCUCGUUUCACAAACUUUUGAUGAAUCCAAGGCAUGGCUGCCUUCGCCUUACGAUAAACAAGUCCUGUCUGUUGCUUGGCUCACUCUUUGAUACUGGAAGGAGAGUCUGUUGCAGUCAGAAAGAAAAGAUGUCAAAGUGGAGGCAGCCAGUUGCUCUGGUGGAGGGGAGGGCUGGUGUCCCAGGUUAGCAUUACCUGGAUGGGGACCAGUUUUGCAGGUCCAGAGCUCAGUUUAUCAGUGGCUCAAGGGAGCACUGAUUCAUACGUUCCAAGCUCAUGGGAGGGAGUGGCGUAAAUCCAGGCCUCUCAAACUUCAAUAUGCACAGGAAUCACGGGGGGCGCCUGGGGAUGGGAAUCUCCUGAAAAAUGCAGCUUCUAAUUUAGUACAGCUGGGCUAAGGCCUGAGAUUCCGCAUUUCCAACCAGCUCCCCACUGCACUUUGAGUAGCAAGGAUGUACAUCGGAGGCCAAUUUUUCUAAACUUUUGGUACCUGUCACCACUGGUUUCCUCACAACCCAAAGACUGCUUAGGGAGCAUGGUGGCCCAGAAAGGGGACUCCGCCUUCCAGGGUUGCUGGGUUUCCUGCAGACCUCAUGUCUUCCUGCCUUUCUGCUUUCACCUUCUAUCAGCCUGGGCCUGUCAGUGGCUCCGGUUAUACAUUUCCUUGGUUAUGUUCCCAGCCUGAAGGGAGACCUGCUGACUUUGGGUUUCUCUGUGUCCCAGGGUUUUCCCAGAGAUUCAUUAGGAAGCAAUCUUAAAGGGCGGGCUUCUUCCUCUGACGGCUAACCUAGUCCUUUUUCACUAAUUCUUCCCAGUUUCAGUCUCUGUGGGUGACUCUCCAAGAGUUGGAAUGCACUGGUCACGGUGUUGACAACACAGAUAAGAGGAAUCACAUUUAGAAAUAAGUAAUCCCAUGAGGCAGCCAGAGAGAUGGGCAGUAAGAGGCUGAGAGAUGCUCUUGGAGCAGGGUCGUCAGUGAGCACCGACAGCUGGAGUGGGCAGCGCUGGAUGCAUCGCCUGCCUGGCCCCCAACCUCAUUUACCCACAGCCUGCCUGACCUUGCUGAACUCCAUCCCAGAUCCUCAUUUGGUGAACCUGGGCUAUAGACUUAGGCUUUGCCUGGCAUUUGUUUGGAGCUGGAUGCUUGGGCAUGGCUGUCUGGUCAUGAUGACAUGGAUCACCAGCCCUGGAGCUCUGGGUAGCUGGAGAGAGCCACUGAAACCGGCCACCUAUUUGGCUUUGUUGUGGCAGAGACUGGCUUAUUUCUAGGGCUCCAUCUAGAUCUUCUAGCUUCAUGCUUCCUAUUAAUACUCCGAUUCAUAAAAAUAAAAAUCAUGAAAUAUAAUUGCCUAUAAAAAUAAUGAGACUAGGGCCGGGUGCG